Molecule: long non-coding RNA, 1412 nt
Organism: Populus nigra (black poplar)
Lineage: Eukaryota; Viridiplantae; Streptophyta; Magnoliopsida; Malpighiales; Salicaceae
Exons: 2
Source: RefSeq, a predicted model, not a curated record
CGUAAAACAAAAAACAUAUAUAUAGCUCUGUCUGCACCCUUCCUCUUCGCUGCCUCUCCUCUCUUACGCCUUGGGGUCAAAUUCUAAUCAGUGAAGAGAGAUCAACAAGUUUUCAAUCUCCAGAUCCGCGCUCUAAAACCUUCCUUUUCUUUUCAAAAAACACGGAUCUGAAGCUUAAGCCAUUGCUCACAAACCCUCCACAGCUCCAUUUUUGCACGCCUCUCUCUCUCUUCAGCUUUACUAAAUAUGAUAACUGUGGUUUGUAUUUUGAGAGUUACUAAUUUUUGCUUGCUUUCUAGUUUAAAUGGCUGCAUUCUUUGUGUGUUCUGUUUGGUGGCGUAGAUCAUUUAUAGAAAGAGAAAAUGCAAGAAAAGCAAAGUGGGUAAUUAAUUAUUAAUUAACAAAUAUAAUUCGCCGGCUAGAAUUUGUUUCCUGUUUUUCAGUUUGGAACAGAGCAUCCCAAAAUAACAACUGAUGAUUCGUUGAACUCUGAUAUAGAGCGUCGUCUAACACAUAGAAAGAAGGAAGUAUGCUUGAAUUCCAUGAUAAUAGCUAUUUGAAAAGGCUUGAAAUUAUUCUAUACAACUCUGACAGUUUGCAGAAUUCCAGUUUCGGCAUGAUUUGCAAAUACAUGAACGCGAUUCAUGUACAAUCGAAUAUCAUAGUUGAAAAUCUUAUUUGGCAUUUCUUUGAAGAAAAUAAUAGUCAUAGUAGCCUAGUCAUUCACUGAAAAAGUAUGGCUAUGCAUCUGUUCAGCGCAAGUAAUAAAACAAUGGAUGUAGAUAUGGAGUUGAUUCUUAUAACAGUCAUGCUGAUAUGUUGAGAUUUUAUAAAAGCAUAAAACUGAUAUCACUAUUUGGUAAUUCCUGAUGGCACCAGAUCAAUCUCAAAAACCAAUCCACCUUUCAAUAUAUUUACAAGCAAAAAAAUACUUUGAAAAGCUAUAGCUACCACUGCCACUACCAAACCACUGUUCUAAACACCCCUAUAAACCAAAACUACCUGAUUGGUUAAUUGAACGUACCCAAUAUUAAAACUAACCACUGCAUUUUCUUGUUUGAUUUUUGCUAUAAAAUACAGUUGCGGCCAUGAGUGCGUGCAGCUGCAGUUGUUAUAGCCGUAGGGGACUAUUGCUAUUGAGUUACAAAAUUCAGGGAAUUGCAUACCAAGAGAGCCAAAUAUAUUUGCAGAUUACCAAAGAGAAUACUAUAUCAGUAGCAAUAAUCCCUGCGGCCAUUACAACUGCAGAGAAUUGCAUACCAGGUGAGAUACAUGUAUUAGAAGGUUCAACCAUGAAGAAGCAUGGAAUGAUAGCUAAAGAAUUUAUGGCAAAGAGUCCAAACAUGUAGAAAAAAUGGAUUCAAAAUUUUAUCAGUGAACAUAGAGGAUCAACCAUUUGAGCUUUAUAUCCC